This 18-nucleotide small nuclear RNA is filed under the name Arabidopsis thaliana (thale cress). RNAcentral describes it as "snRNA_08406". The record is from RNAcentral. Lineage: Eukaryota; Viridiplantae; Streptophyta; Magnoliopsida; Brassicales; Brassicaceae.
AUCUCUCUUUCAAGGAGG